This 205-nucleotide ribosomal RNA is filed under the name uncultured bacterium. RNAcentral describes it as "partial 16S ribosomal RNA". It matches the Rfam family "Bacterial small subunit ribosomal RNA", at positions 568 to 774 of the family's 1533-position model. The record is from RNAcentral.
CGUGUAGGCGGCCUGACAGGUCUGCUGUGAAAACUCGAGGCUCAACCUCGAGAUGUCGGCGGAAACCGUCUGGCUAGAGUCCGGAAGAGGAGAGUGGAAUUCCUGGUGUAGCGGUGAAAUGCGCAGAUAUCAGGAAGAACACCUAUGGCGAAGGCAGCUCUCUGGGACGGUACUGACGCUGAGACGCGAAGCGUGGGAGCGAACA